This 514-nucleotide RNase P RNA is filed under the name Bacteroidota bacterium. RNAcentral describes it as "Bacteroidetes bacterium (activated sludge metagenome) RNase P RNA component class A". It matches the Rfam family "Bacterial RNase P class A". From Rfam's summary of the family: Ribonuclease P (RNase P) is a ubiquitous endoribonuclease, found in archaea, bacteria and eukarya as well as chloroplasts and mitochondria. Lineage: Bacteria; Pseudomonadati; Bacteroidota. The record is from RNAcentral.
CGGGGAAAGCGGGCAGUUGCAUUUAUUUUAUUAUAAAUGAGGAAAGUCCGAACACCACAGAACAGCACGCUUCGUAACGCGAAGGCAGUAACGCAAAGUAAUAAUUGAACAAUUAUUAACUGCAAGCUGACGGAUAGCGCAACAGAAAGUAAACCGCCAAUCCGCUUUGCGAGUAAUUUCCUACAGGUGAAUUGCUUGCAAAGGUCAUGGAGGUAAGGGUGAAACGGUAAGGUAAGAGCUUACCGCGCAAAAUAUCGGGCAACCGAAGCGGCAGGGCAAGCCCCGUGCGGUGCAAGACUAAAUAGGAAGUGAGUUGUACUAUUAUAGAAAUAUAGUAGCACAUUUGAGCUGUUCGUUCAAUGAUAUAACGAAAGUUAUUCGCUCAUUUCGGGUAAGUCGCUUGAGGGUUACGGUGACGUAAUUCCCAGAUAAAUAACUACCUCUUUGUUGUAAAUCUUCUAAUCGAAGUACUGCUUCAAAAAGACAGAAUUCGGCUUAUAGCUUUCUUCGCAUA